AAGUGCUACAGCGAUGCAGCCGCCAAGAAGCAGGCCCGCAGCCUUCAGGCCGUGCCUAGGCUGGUGAAGCUCUUCAACCACGCCAACCAGGAAGUGCAGCGCCAUGCCACAGGUGCCAUGCGCAACCUCAUCUACGACAACGCUGACAACAAGCUGGCCCUGGUGGAGGAGAACGGGAUCUUCGAGCUGCUGCGGACACUGCGGGAGCAGGAUGAUGAGCUUCGCAAAAAUGUCACAGGGAUCCUGUGGAACCUUUCAUCCAGCGACCACCUGAAGGACCGCCUGGCCAGAGACACGCUGGAGCAGCUCACAGACCUGGUGUUGAGCCCCCUGUCGGGGGCUGGGGGUCCCCCCCUCAUCCAGCAGAACGCCUCGGAGGCGGAGAUCUUCUACAAUGCCACCGGCUUCCUCAGGUGCGCCAGCCUCGGGCAGUGGGGUGGGGAUUGCAGGCGCGGGUCACUGUAGGGACUCCGCCUGGCCUGGCGUUCACAGCCCCACACACCGCACGCCUCGCGCUGGGGAUGGGCGUGCGA
This 533-nucleotide small RNA is filed under the name Pan troglodytes (chimpanzee). Its description in RNAcentral is "retained intron". Lineage: Eukaryota; Metazoa; Chordata; Mammalia; Primates; Hominidae. The record is from RNAcentral.